AAUUUAAGAAUUCUGGUUUGUGGAAUUUGGAAGUCAGACUUCAAUGAUAUUCUGAUGAGACUAAGAGGUUUAGAAGAAAGAUUUAAGUAAUUCCCAUUGUUGGAGUACAGGCAAGCAAUGAUUCAGAAAACUGGUAACUGAGAUAUGUCUAGGCCAUGAUUUCAAAUUUGCUCCAAGAUGGUGAAGGAAGAAGUGGUACUGAUAACACCCAGACACAAGAUGCAUAAAAUUAUUUUGAUACAAUAAGACUUGCAAUGACCCUUUGGGUGAACAAAAAUAUCCUUACUUCUUCUCUUGUCUGCUGUGGCUAUGACAUUAUCAGGAUCAAUGUGAGUUACUAUCCUGGAUGAAUGGCAAGAACAAUCCUAGAAGGCAGAGCUAAAAUCAAAUGAUCACUUUAACAUAUUAGAAACAAAAAGAAGAAGAAGAACAAAAAUAAAAAGCAAGAGAGGAAACAACAAUUUGAGAAAAUCUGGAAACCUAAAGUUGCUAUACAUUUCACAGAUACCAAAUUCACUUAAAAGAAACAAACUUGCCCAGUACCACCUCUCCUCCACCCACUUGUAGAGUGAAAUAGGUUUAUUCUCUUGGGGCAUCUCUCAGUAAUAAAGAUCCAGUGUAAAACAAUGAAAGUUAUCUCUAUAACUGAUGCUUAGCAUAGUCAUGCAUAUUGUAAAAGAAAAACUUAAAUAAAAUAGGUUUUUCUUAACAUGCUUUAUUGUAUGUAUUU
Molecule: long non-coding RNA, 730 nt
Organism: Zalophus californianus (California sea lion)
Lineage: Eukaryota; Metazoa; Chordata; Mammalia; Carnivora; Otariidae
Exons: 3
Source: RefSeq, a predicted model, not a curated record